UCUAAUCUCUUUCGCACACCGUAAGUUGACCCCUUCAAUAAUAGCGCACAAAAACACAUACACUAAUGGCUCGAAGCAAGAUAGAACAUCUCGCACAAUAGCCACAUCAGAGUGAUUUGAUCAACCAAGUGUGAAGUACCUGGAUUGAAUAGUGCAUGCAAUCCUGAAAGGUGGCACAGGUUGCGUAUUAAGAUCCCUCUAAAACCAUCACCAGCAUCACGUUUUCGAAAACCAGAGGAAAGUGCUUCAAACCACAACCACGUGCAGUCAAUCGGUCCGAGAAGCCAACCAUAAAAGGUAAAGUGCAUAUCAAUGCCUUUUGAUGCAUCAUACCUAGCUCCAAUAUUACAUGCUUUCAGGCUCGGUUGCAUGUCCCGAGCGACUAUCCGGCUCGAUUGUAAAAGCGGUGACAGGGUCUAGUCCUCCAGAUUCGGACACUGCUAAGGGUGACAAACGUAGAUGCCAACACAUCCGACACAGAUUCCACAAUAUACGGUUCACACGAUUGGCACUCGUUGGCAGCCAAAGACACAGAAGGCCUUCAAUAGAAGGCCUUUUGUUUGCAGCCUUGCAUUUGCCGGUGAAUCGACAUCUGUACGCUCGUUGAGCGAGUAUCGCACGGCGAUCCCAAGCUGGUGGUGCAACUUUGAGGUGCAGGGAAGUCACGGGUGGUGCAGCAGAUGAUACGCAUUGUGCGACAUUGAACCGGGUACGACGCAACAAAAGGUAGUGCGACGGAGAGCGUGCGACAUCAAGGAAGUAGCAUCGAUUUGCAGUGUGCAUUCUGCUCGUCCGAGAUUGCCAGGUGAUGCUUCAUGCAACAAAGGCACACUAGCGAAUGUGCGCUGAUAGCGAUAACGACGAUGCACCAGAUGCAGCAG
Molecule: long non-coding RNA, 881 nt
Organism: Armigeres subalbatus
Lineage: Eukaryota; Metazoa; Arthropoda; Insecta; Diptera; Culicidae
Exons: 4
Source: RefSeq, a predicted model, not a curated record